Molecule: long non-coding RNA, 3022 nt
Filed under: Triticum aestivum (bread wheat)
Lineage: Eukaryota; Viridiplantae; Streptophyta; Magnoliopsida; Poales; Poaceae
Description: long non-coding RNA (TAES_LNC012791)
Source: RNAcentral
UUUUUUUUUUUUUUGAGAAUCGCAUGUAGAUAUAGUUAGUUGUGAUUAGUGGCCUAGUGCAUUGGCUAGUGGGCGUUAGCGGCCCGAGAGUGGUGGCUGGCUAAUGCGUGGGUCGGUCUUGUACUUAGCUAUUUAAGUUGAAGAAGAUGAAUGAGAAAAGCAGGCCGUGAGGGCUGGGCAAAGAUGUAGCAUUUGUGUCACCAAGGGAGAGAGCUCUCGGCAAAGCUGGUGCUAGUUUCUUCCUUGGUGUGUGUGUGUAUGUGUAGAGUUUCACCCUGUGUGCGUGUGUUCUUGUGUGAGAGAAACCAAGAGAUAGAGAGAGAGAGAGUUGUGCGAGGCAGCUCGAGGAAGAAGAAGGGGCGCUGCGAGAAGGCGGCGCCAACAACCCGGACCUCAUUCUGCCACAGGUGGUCAACGACAACGAGGCCCAAGUGGUCGCCCUCACCGCCACCAACUUCUCCUCCUUCCUCGCCGUCCGCUGCCACAUCGUGGUCGAUUUCUACGCAUCCUGGUGCUACUGGUCACGCAAACUCGCCCAUGAAUAUGCCGCGGCCGCGUUGCACCUGGCGGACAAGGGGCUCGAUGUCGCACUCGCCAAGGUUGACGCCACUCAUGGGCAAGAUGACUAAAACUCUGUUUUCCGCAACAAUGGAGCGAGCAACAGACUUGUUGGAAAUAAUACAUACUGAUGUAUGCGGUCCGAUGAGUGUUGAUGCUCGCGGCGGGUAUCGUUAUUUUCUAACCUUCACAGAUGAUUUGAGCAGAUAUGAGUAUAUCUACUUGAUGAAAUAUAAGUCUGAAACAUUUGAAAAGUUUAAAGAAUUUCAGAGUGAAGAGAAAAAUCAUCGUAACAAGAAAAUAAAGUUUCUACGUCUGAUCGUGGAGGAGAAUAUUUGAGUUACAAGUUUGGUCUUCAUUUGAAACAGUGCGGAAUAGUUUCGCAACUCACGUCACCCGAAACACCACAGCGUAAUGGUGUGUCCGAACAUCGUAAUCGUACUUUAUUAGAUAUGGUGUGGUGUGAUCUAUGAUGUCUCUUACUGAUUUACCGCUAUCGUUUUGGGGUUAUGCUUUACAGACAGCUGCAUUCACGUUAAAUAGGGCACCAUCUAAAUCCGUUGAGACGACACCUUAUGAAUUGUGGUUUGGCAAGAAACCCAAGUUGUCAUUUCUUAAAGUUUGGGGCUGCAAUGCUUAUGUGAAAAAGUUUCAACCUAAUAAGCUCGAACCCAAAUCGGAGAAAUGUGUCUUCAUAGGAUACCCAAAGGAGACUGUUGAGAACACCUUCUAUCACAGAUCCGAAGGCAAGAUAUUCGUUGCUAAGAAUGGAUCCUUUCUAGAGAAGGAGUUUCUCUCGAAAGAAGUGAGUGGGAGGAAAGUAGAACUUGAUGAGGUAAUUGUACCUUCUUCCGAGUUGGAAAGUAGUACAUCACAUAAGUAAGUUCCAGUGAUUCCUACACCAACUAGUGAGGAUGCUAAUGAUGAUGAUCAUGAAACUUCUGAUCAAGUUACUACCAAACAUCAUAGGUCAACCAGAGUAAGAUCCGCAUCAGAGUGGUACGGUAAUCCUGCUCUGAAGGUCAUGUUACUUGACCAUGAUGAACCUACGAACUAUGAGGAAGCGAUGAUGAGCCCAGAUUCCGCAAAAUUGCUUGAGGCCAUGAAAUCUGAGAUGGGAUCCAUGUAUGAGAACAAAAUGGGGACUUUGGUUGACUUGUCCGAUGAUCGACUUUGGUUUAACAAGGUUAUUUUUUGGAGGAAAUAAUUAUCAUGCACCUCCUGCCACUAAUCCACCACCUCUUUGUCCAUUUUUGAGCAGGAAUACGAGACGCGAGACAUGAAACGCCAAAUUCGUGCUUGUUUAAUGUUACAUAGCGAACUGUUGAAAAUUAUCCCUCCUGUUGGGUAAGCAGAGGCACAGUUGUGUGGACUCUUGUGCCCGUCAGAUUCGGCAUCCGGAAUGGACAUGAGAGACUAUCAUGCUGACACGCCGGGAAGCAGCCUCGCCGUCAUAUGGGCCGAAACACAACUGGCAGGGAACCAGAUCCUGAAGGCACUGUGGGCCAAAGUUGUCUGCUUGGAAGUGCAGGCUCCCAAAAGAGAGCGUUGUGCCUUCAAUACCACACCAGGUCGGCGGCAAUGAAGUUGAGCGUAAGAUACUAUUACAUUUAAAGUUACUCAUAGACUAAGGCAAAUAAAUAGGCACAGAUAGGAGGCACCUGUCCAAAUAUGUUAAAAAAUAGUUUUGUGAAGGACCGAGAGGUUUUAAGUAAUCUAUUAGAAUUACUCACAAACUAAUGUAAUCGAUCUAUAUGUAUGGUCCAUGGAUUUAGGUUUUAAGCAGUGUUUCUAGUAUAAAUGAAAGCUUCAUGUGCACUUAGCAUUCACUAUAUUUAUUAAUAACUCUAUGAGUUUUGCCUUUAAGCAGAUUUCUAUGAGACUAGACAUAUUAUUAUCGCUUCCAAACAUAACUCUGUUACUCCAGGAUACAAAGUUCUCAAUUGUUAAAUGAAAGCUUCAAGUGCAGUUGACAUAGUAAAUAUCCAUUGAAGUUCUAUGCGACGAUGCAAAUCUUGCAGUUGCAGAAGCCGAAGACCACACCAUCGCACCAAUAGUGCGUGAUUUUAUAAUACCAACGAUGUUGGCAAUGAUAGAGGCAUUCGGACUUUAUACAUAAUGUCAUCCUGUCGCGCUUAAUCUCACAGUUCUCUGUGCAUCUCAAAUACAUUAAGGGUUAGACCAUAAUAGUGAGACAUCAAUUGUGACAACAUACCAUGUCAAACUAUUGCAUAAUUGGUAACAAGUAUUAUUCCUCCACGGCAUAGAAACAAUGUGCUUCAACAUCAUAUUUAAGAAAACUUCUAGUUAUCCCAUAAGAAACCUACUUCAGAAGAACAAAAGCUAGAACAUACCUGCAGUCAUACUGCUUCCUAACAACACAAGCAUCACCAUAAAACAAGCAAUGGUAGACCGUUUGUCCAUCCUUGAAUGCCACACCUGACGAGGCCCAAGGAACGAUAUA